RNAcentral lists this ribosomal RNA (253 nucleotides) under uncultured bacterium. RNAcentral's name for it is "partial 16S ribosomal RNA". It matches the Rfam family "Bacterial small subunit ribosomal RNA", at positions 524 to 776 of the family's 1533-position model. The record is from RNAcentral.
UACGUAGGGUGCAAGCGUUAUCCGGAUUCACUGGGUUUAAAGGGUGCGUAGGUGGGUUGGUAAGUCAGUGGUGAAAUCUCCGAGCUUAACUUGGAAACUGCCAUUGAUACUAUCAGUCUUGAAUACCGUGGAGGUCAGCGGAAUAUGUCAUGUAGCGGUGAAAUGCUUAGAUAUGACAUAGAACACCAAUUGCGAAGGCAGCUGACUACGCGAAUAUUGACACUGAUGCACGAAAGCGUGGGGAUCAAACAGG